Molecule: ribosomal RNA, 521 nt
Filed under: uncultured Glomeromycotina
Lineage: Eukaryota; Fungi; Glomeromycota
Description: SSU rRNA
Rfam family: Eukaryotic small subunit ribosomal RNA
Source: RNAcentral
AGCAGCCGCGGUAAUUCCAGCUCCAAUAGCGUAUAUUAAAGUUGUUGCAGUUAAAAAGCUCGUAGUUGAAUUUCGGGGUCAGCAGGUUGGUCGUGCCUAUGGUAUGCACUGGCUUCGCUGAUCUCUCCUUUCUGAAGAACUGUAAUGCCAUUAAUUUGGUGUUGCGGGGACACAGGACUGUUACUUUGAAAAAAUUAGAGUGUUUAAAGCAGGCUCGCGCUUGAAUACAUUAGCAUGGAAUAAUGAAAUAGGACGUUGACCCUAUUUUGUUGGUUUCUAGGAUUGACGUAAUGAUUAAUAGGGAUAGUUGGGGGCAUUAGUAUUCAAUUGUCAGAGGUGAAAUUCUUGGAUUUAUUGAAGACUAACUACUGCGAAAGCAUUUGCCAAGGAUGUUUUCAUUAAUCAAGAACGAAAGUUAGGGGAUCGAAGACGAUCAGAUACCGUCGUAGUCUUAACCAUAAACUAUGCCGACUAGGGAUCGGAUGAUGUUAAUUUUUUAAUGACUCAUUCGGCGCCUUACG